GGAUUAGCAGCCUCCUUGCUUGGCUUGCUUUAAGGUCCGCUUCUUGGUCUCUGGGUCACAGCAGGGCAUGAGGUGAUGAGGAGCAAAAAAACCCAGAAAAGCAUUUAUCCUGAGAUCCCCAGAUCCCUCAAUUCACAAGAUUUCCUAAUAUCAGGUCUCCAUGGAUCCACUGUGUAAUUAGAACUAAGGGCUGAACCAUGGGCAAGACUUUUGAGUGAUUAACUUCUCAAAUUCAAACUGGGCUUCACUGUAACCUGGAGACGAAACCAUUUGAAUGGAGAAAUUAUGGGGAGGAGGAAGAGUGAUGCCUAUCACCUUAAAAGAAGGCAAAGGACCUUACAGAAAAGGGAUAAAGAAGGAAGAAGACUUUUGUGAUUAAAGAAGGUAGGGAAUGAGGGAAACCAGAGAAUGACCAAUGUAAACAAGAGCAACAGAGAUGCACUCUGCUUCUGACAUUUUUGCAAACUUCAGUU
This 473-nucleotide long non-coding RNA is filed under the name Vulpes vulpes (red fox). RNAcentral describes it as "lncRNA (ENSVVUG00000016795.1)". The record is from RNAcentral. Lineage: Eukaryota; Metazoa; Chordata; Mammalia; Carnivora; Canidae.